UACGUAGGUGGCAAGCGUUGUCCGGCUUCAUUGGGCGUAAAGAGCGUGUAGGCGGCCAGGUAGGUCGGUUGUGAAAACUGGAGGCUCAACCUUCAGAGGUCGACCGAAACCAUCUGGCUAGAGUCCGGGAGAGGAGAGUGGAAUUCCUGGUGUAGCGGUGAAAUGCGCAGAUAUCAGGAAGAACACCCGUGGCGAAAGCGGCUCUCUGGAACGGUACUGACGCUGAGACGCGAAAGCGUGGGGAGCGAACAGG
RNAcentral lists this ribosomal RNA (253 nucleotides) under uncultured bacterium. RNAcentral's name for it is "partial 16S ribosomal RNA". It matches the Rfam family "Bacterial small subunit ribosomal RNA", at positions 524 to 776 of the family's 1533-position model. The record is from RNAcentral.